GACGAACGCUGGCGGCGUGCUUAACACAUGCAAGUCGAACGGAAAGGCCCCCAUCUUGGUGGGGGUGCUCGAGUGGCGAACGGGUGAGUAACACGUGGGUGAUCUGCCCUGUACUUCGGGAUAAGCUUGGGAAACUGGGUCUAAUACCGGAUAGGACCAUGGUUUAGUGUCUCAUGGUGGAAAGAUUAUUGUUUUGGUGCAGGAUGAGCUCGCGGCCUAUCAGCUUGUUGGUGGGGUAAUGGCCUACCAAGGCGUCGACGGGUAGCCGGCCUGAGAGGGUGGACGGGCACAUUGGGACUGAGAUACGGCCCAGACUCCUACGGGAGGCAGCAGUGGGGAAUAUUGCACAAUGGGCGCAAGCCUGAUGCAGCGACGCAGCGUGGGGGAUGACGGCCUUCGGGUUGUAAACUCCUUUCGUUAGGGACGAAGCCACGCUUUUUGGGUGUGAUGACGGUACCUUUGUGAAGAAGCACCGGCUAACUACGUG
This 487-nucleotide ribosomal RNA is filed under the name uncultured bacterium. RNAcentral's name for it is "partial 16S ribosomal RNA". It matches the Rfam family "Bacterial small subunit ribosomal RNA", at positions 28 to 507 of the family's 1533-position model. The record is from RNAcentral.